Alexandromys fortis (reed vole) is the source of this 669-nucleotide long non-coding RNA. RefSeq lists it as uncharacterized. Lineage: Eukaryota; Metazoa; Chordata; Mammalia; Rodentia; Cricetidae. The transcript has 2 exons. The record is from RefSeq and is a predicted model, not a curated record.
AUUUGUGAGGUUUAGCCCAGCUCAGCUGCCAGCCUCACCCUUGCAUCCCUCUAACUUGCUAUUCUUGGCUCAAUUAUUGUCAUGCAAAUGGGCUCCUUCCUAUGCCACCUUCCUGUCUCAUUAUGAUCUUUGUCUCAGGACUUCGGCCCUGGAAUUUCAAUGCCUCCUAGACCAAGCCGGGCACCGGGAAUGCUGCCUCCCCCUGCUGGCUUCCCCCUCUGCAGCUUGAUUCCCUCUAGAGAUCUACAGGGCCAGCAAAGAACUUGGCAGAAUGCCCAGGGUCUGGCCCUCCUCCCUGCUUGAAGAUAGCCUCAAGUUCUUUGAUAGUCUUCCCCCCACCACCACCACUUUCCCGAUAGAAUGUGGUGACCGCCACACUCUUUCUGGCCUAAGCCUUCGAACAACGUCCUCCUCUUGCCUUGGAGAAUGCAUUCUUAGACCCUGAACUGCUGUGUUAGAAGUUCAGCCAUGGAGACGGCAGAUGAAGAAGCCCCAGGAUGACACAAAGAGCCACACGUAAGGGAGAAGCCAUCUUGGACCUCAUGCCUAGGCCAAUUGAAUGCUAGAGUGACCCAGUCAGAGCCCCAUGACCCAACAUCACUCAGCCGAGCUGCAUCAAUAUUCCUCGGUUUUAUGAGGUAGAAUAAAAUGUUGUUUUUAAGAAACUAA